RNAcentral lists this ribosomal RNA (253 nucleotides) under uncultured bacterium. Its description in RNAcentral is "partial 16S ribosomal RNA". It matches the Rfam family "Bacterial small subunit ribosomal RNA", at positions 524 to 776 of the family's 1533-position model. The record is from RNAcentral.
UACGUAGGGGGCUAGCGUUGUCCGGAUUUAUUGGGCGUAAAGAGCUCGUAGGUGGCUUGUCACGUCGGGUGUGAAAGCUUGGGGCUUAACUCCAGGUCUGCAUUCGAUACGGGCUGGCUAGAGGUUGGUAGGGGAGAACGGAAUUCCUGGUGUAGCGGUGAAAUGCGCAGAUAUCAGGAGGAACACCGGUGGCGAAGGCGGUUCUCUGGGCCUUACCUGACGCUGAGGAGCGAAAGCGUGGGGAGCGAACAGG